UACGAAGGGGGCUAGCGUUGUUCGGAAUUACUGGGCGUAAAGGGCGCGUAGGCGGCCCGAUCAGUCAGAUGUGAAAGCCCUGGGCUCAACCUAGGAAGUGCAUUCGAAACUCCCGAGCUUGAGUUCUGGAGAGGAAGGCGGAAUUCUCGGUGUAGAGGUGAAAUUCGUAGAUAUCGAGAGGAACACCGGUGGCGAAGGCGGCCUUCUGGACAGUGACUGACGCUGAGACGCGAAAGCGUGGGGAGCAAACAGG
Molecule: ribosomal RNA, 253 nt
Filed under: uncultured bacterium
Lineage: Bacteria
Description: partial 16S ribosomal RNA
Rfam family: Bacterial small subunit ribosomal RNA
Source: RNAcentral